Molecule: long non-coding RNA, 964 nt
Organism: Drosophila ananassae
Lineage: Eukaryota; Metazoa; Arthropoda; Insecta; Diptera; Drosophilidae
Exons: 2
Source: RefSeq, a predicted model, not a curated record
UAAUCGCUGUUGUUAGUCGCAAGCCGACUCUUCUCGGCCGCUCGGCUUUAUUUUAUUGUUGUAUUAAGUUAACGAGCUUUCGCCCGUCCUAGAGCUGGGUCGGCCACUCACGAUAGUAUCGAUAUAUCGAAUAUUUGGGUUUGCGAACCACUAUCGAUGUUUGAGUGCCGAUAGUAAACGAUAGUGGCAAGCUUGCACAUCUUUACUUUUGGCGAACAACUGCGGAGAUCUACACGUGAAAGUUAAUAUUGGUGUUGGCGGAGAAAAUGGACAAAUUUUUGCAAGGCGAAUACGAUACGUUGUUACGUUGAUACGUUGUUAAAAAUAUUUCUACUUUGGGGAGGACAAACCGGGUCGAUGCCAUUGUUGAACUUCAACAGUACAUGCGAGCGGCACAUUCACCUCAGCAAACAGAUCCUUUAAAGUUUUGGAAGGGCGCUCCAGAUGAUUCUCUUCUUAAAACUACAGCUGAACGCCUUUUUUGUGUGCAAGCAUCAUCGACUGAGUCUGAGAGGAGUUUUAGUAAAACGGGACAAAUUAUUUCUGCUAGGAGAGCAUCACUAAAGGCCAAAAACGUGGAUAUAUUAUCCUUUCUCAAUAAAAAUAUGUGGAUCUCAAACUAUUCAAUCAAUGAAUAGUUAGCUAGUUACACUGAAGACUAAUACUGUAACAUGAGUUCAAUGCUAUAGCCUCAACGGUUAGUAUUUUCUGUUCUAAGUUAUACCUGCUAAAACCUUAGACUAGGUUAUAGCAUGUGUAACUCAAAACAGAAGAUACAAACCGUUGAGGCUAUAGCAUUGAACUCAUAUUACAAUAUUAGUCGUCAGUGUACAAAUUUAGAAUAUAUUAACCUAUUCAUAAGAAUCUUUUGUGAAUUAUUUCAUUUCUUCCUUUGUUAUAAGCGACUUCAUAUGAUUAUGAGAUUUUGUUAUGUUUUGUUAUUCGAAUAAAGAAUGGCCUUUAA